Molecule: long non-coding RNA, 2510 nt
Filed under: Solanum tuberosum (potato)
Lineage: Eukaryota; Viridiplantae; Streptophyta; Magnoliopsida; Solanales; Solanaceae
Description: long non-coding RNA (STUB_LNC002435)
Source: RNAcentral
UGCUUCAAGGCUCUAUGUCUUUUUAUUAUUGUGAUGGUUAGAUUUUUUAUUUUCUCCUCAAACUCUUUUCUGUAUUUUAUGGAUCUGCUAUAUUAAAAGACAAUGAAAAUACAGAGAGAUUCAUGCCUUUUUCUAUAUUGAUAAUUUAGUCUAAAAGGUACAUUUUUUAUUUGAAAAAGUUUAUUGUGGUUGUUUGCAUGCCAUUUUUAUGAAUUCUUAAUGUUUUUGAUAUUUCUUGAAUAUUGUAUACAUAUGGAAGAUGCGAGAAUUUGAAAUGGCUAUUCAAAAUUUCUGCAUGUGAGUUCGCAUUUUCUUCUCGCAUUUUUAUGAUAUAAUUCACUCUUUUUGGUGUUCGAACACUGCAUCACAUGGUGGUACAAAGAGCAACCUUAUUGGUUCGAUCUUUCAAGAGUAGAAAAUAUUGAUUUCCGAUCUAGAUACAAGUUUUGGGAAUUUACUUAGUAUUUUAAUUUUAAUUUUUGAGUGUUGUUUGGAGUUAUAUUUCUCAUAAUGUUUAAGGUUUUUGUUUGUUUACUUAUUCCCCUGCAGUAGUUUUCCUUCUAAAUUAUUUCUUGAUUUUGACAUACCUUUAAAUUUUGGCUCAUGUUAGUUACUAGGGUAACAAUUCUUCUAUUGUGUGGAACAUGUUUCUCAUAAACUUAUAAGCAACGUUGAAAGUUUUUGGACUAAUUUAGGUAGGAUUUGAUAGAAAGUAAAAUUAUUGACUGAAAAUUAUUACUUUCAGAACGAAAAUAAUAGUGAAAAAUACUUCUUAUGCCUACACUUGGGACCUCACCUUCCAAUCUAAUACACUACUUCAUUAAUCAAUUGCCUGUUUUCGAGUAGUUUUUUACUAUAUCUUUGAUAUGUUUAGAGAAAAUUGAUCCAACGAUCUAGACAUGAGUGAAGAAAUUAACGUAUAAUAUUUCUUUUGCCUUUCGCAGGUUAAGAGUGAUCAAGUUAUCCUAAAAACUUCUAGGUGAAGCACUCUGUUCUGCUUGUACCGGCGAGGACAUGGGACUUCUGCUGAAAUUAUUGUUCACUACACCAUAGGCAAUGUGGAGGUCACUUUUUUGGAGAUGUACAUGUUUUGGGUCUUAACUGUAAAGUACCCUCCUCCUUUGGCACUCUGAUCUAUCUUGCACUCAUACCACUAAAGAACCAAGGUAGUUUUCUCCAUUUUUUGUGCUUGUAAUACAUAAAUGUGUCUUAUAGUUAUGGCUAUGUAUGAGUUUUUAAUAAAGAUCAAGUGUUACAGUAGAUGAACUCACUUCCUAUCUAUAUUUGCCUAUUUUUUUAUUUUUUUUAAAAAAAACUAAUAAUAAAUCAAUUGACACUAUCAUCUAGACACAAUAUUAUUGUGAUCCAUAGGUAUCAAAGUUAAUCUAAGUCAGAGACAACACUAAAUUGAGAUUCCAACUACAUCUGAAAACAUGUUGUUAAUUCAACUACCAAGUCAUGAUCCUUCUGCGCUAUGACCUUAUGAGUUGAAUGAGCACAUGCGACAUGAGAGCUGAAAAAUUAGAAAUCAUUGUUUCAAAAUUAUGAAUAGGAUGUCAUAAUGGUAUCCAAGAGAGUAACAACAUAUAAAUGAAAUAAGACUACAAGAGAGAUAUGUUGAUCCGUUUUAAUAACCGUGUUGGUAAGUCAAUAUGCCACUUUCUGAUUUUAGUAGAUAUUUGCAUCUAUUUAGAUUAGAUGUCUCAGCUUAUUAUGAUAGUUAAGAAUUGAUGAAAGACUACUAUUUCAAAUACUCUAUAUAGUGUUGUUAUGAUUGAUGAGAUAGUGCCGUUUUGUUUCUAUGAGAUUUUUUCCUUUGUUGUGUGAAUUUCAAUGUCCGUUUGGAUAUAAGAACUAAAACCUGAAAUUCGGUAAAAUAACUGUUGAAAAAAUGUUUCUAUUCUCAAACUGAAUUUUUCGUUCCAAGUCUUAAAAGAAGAGAGGAUCACUGAUAAUUCAAAUAUUUAAGAACUCUUUAAUAAGUUUUGCUCUCUUAUAAUAUAAUAAAUUCUUAUUUGUACUAGGCUUUCUUCUAUAGUCCUAUAUUACCUUGCACGCAACAAUGUUAUUAUAAUCAAAAACCUUGGAAACAUAUGUCAUAUGUUUGAGAAAGUUAAUAGGGCAAGAAAUGUAACAAGACAAAUGAAUAUCAAUUACUUUGUUAUAUUUUCUUUUGAGCAUUUUAUUUGUGUAUUGGUAAUAGUUGAAUUGAGUUUGUAUUGUUUGUUUUAAGCUAAUUUGUAUUUUCUUGCUAAAAAAUUGUAGUUGUGUUAAGCAUAUGACUUUACUGUAUUGACGUCUACUAUAUUAAAUAAAAAUCCUACCUUACUUUAGUAACUAUAUAACCAUUCCAUUUCACACGCUUACAAGUUACAGCUUUAUAGUGUCAUAUAUGUUAGUUCAUGUUUCUCAGAGACAACAUUUAUAUCCGACACUCAGCAGAUAGGAAAAUUAGGUGUGGCAUCAUAGCGGGGGCGAUCAUAUGCUACUUCAGAGUUCCAGAUUUACAU